GACGAACGCUGGCGGCGUGCUUAACACAUGCAAGUCGAACGGAAAGGCCCUGCUUUUGUGGGGUGCUCGAGUGGCGAACGGGUGAGUAACACGUGAGUAACCUGCCCUUGACUUUGGGAUAACUUCAGGAAACUGGGGCUAAUACCGGAUAGGAGCUCCUGCUGCAUGGUGGGGGUUGGAAAGUUUCGGCGGUUGGGGAUGGACUCGCGGCUUAUCAGCUUGUUGGUGGGGUAGUGGCUUACCAAGGCUUUGACGGGUAGCCGGCCUGAGAGGGUGACCGGCCACAUUGGGACUGAGAUACGGCCCAGACUCCUACGGGAGGCAGAAGUGGGGAAUAUUGCACAAUGGGAGGAAGCCUGAUGCAGCAACGCCGCGUGCGGGAUGACGGCCUUCGGGUUGUAAAACGCUUUCGCCUGUGACGAAGCGUGAGUGACGGUAAUGGGUAAAGAAGCACCGGCUAACUACGUG
This 468-nucleotide ribosomal RNA is filed under the name uncultured bacterium. RNAcentral describes it as "partial 16S ribosomal RNA". It matches the Rfam family "Bacterial small subunit ribosomal RNA", at positions 28 to 507 of the family's 1533-position model. The record is from RNAcentral.